This 76-nucleotide small RNA is filed under the name Xanthomonas pisi. RNAcentral's name for it is "sX9 sRNA". It matches the Rfam family "Xanthomonas sRNA sX9". The record is from RNAcentral. RNAcentral also lists the same sequence under 1 other name. Lineage: Bacteria; Pseudomonadati; Pseudomonadota; Gammaproteobacteria; Lysobacterales; Lysobacteraceae.
AUCGAGCACGCGUAUACGCCGGCUCCGAGCGCGCCGUCCGCACCCAGCUGACGACUGCCCGCUACGUUUGCUGGCC